AUAAUUAAUAUCUUACUUAAAUUUAUGUUAAUUUUCGAGAAAUAUCUUUUUAUUUAGUAUCUUAAGGAAAAAUUUUUUUUUGUUAUAGUUUAUUAGUACUGUGAGGGAAUAGAUGAAAUAAUUGAAAUAUUUAAUUUUUUUUAAGUAUGUUUAAUUUACAGUACCUUUUGUAUCAGGGUUGAUUAAAUAUUUUAAUAUAUAUUAUUAUCUCGAUCUCAAAAGAGCUAAUUUAUUAUUUUAGUUAAUGUUGCAUAAUUAUUAUGAAUAUAGAUUAGUAAAGAAAUUUUAUUUCGGUUUUGAUGGUAUCUAGUUUUUUAAGAAUUAAAUUUAAUUUAUUUUCUUUAUUUAACUUAUAUAUUUGUUUAUAAUUUAUUUAUUGAAUAAUAGUCUAUAGGGGAUAAGCUCUAUAUAUCUCUAUAAAUAUUAAUUUGAUAAAAUUUAUGUAGGGUUAUAAUUAUCCAUCAUUUAUAAGUGUGUUAUAAUUUAUUUUUUUUAUUAAUUGAUUUUUUUUAUUUUAGUUUUUUAUUAAAAUACCAUAAAAAAUAAUUAAUUGUGGGAAAUAAUGAUUAAAUUAGUAUAAUAAUUGGUUUAUAAAUAUUAUUUAUUAAUAAUAAAAUAAGGAAUUCGGCAAAUAUAGUUCUCGCCUGUUUAACAAAAACAUGUCCUUUUGAAUUUAAUUUAAGGUCUGGCCUGCCCAGUGAAUUAUUUUAACGGCCGCGGUAUAUUGACCGUGCAAAGGUAGCAUAAUCAUUAGUCUUUUAAUAGAGGGCUGGAAUGAAAGGUUUAACGAAGAACUGACUGUCUCAUUUUAUAUGUAUUAAAAUUUAAUUUUUUAGUUAAAAAGCUAAAAUUACAUUGGAAGACGAGAAGACCCUAUAGAUCUUUAUAUAUGUUUUUUAAAACUUAUUUUAUAUUAUUAUAUUUUACUAAAUUUAUAUUUGGUUGGGGUGACAAAAAUAUACAAUUAACUUUUUUAUUUUUUAAACAUUAAUUUAUGAUUAUUUGAUCCGUUAUUAGUGAUUAAUAGAUUAAGUUACCUUAGGGAUAACAGCGUAAUCUCCUUUCAGAGUUCAUAUUUACAAGGAGGCUUGCGACCUCGAUGUUGGAUUAAGAUAAUAAUUAGGUGUAGCCGCUUAGUAUAUAGGUCUGUUCGACCUUUAAACU
This 1164-nucleotide ribosomal RNA is filed under the name Nannothemis bella. Its description in RNAcentral is "partial 16S ribosomal RNA". Lineage: Eukaryota; Metazoa; Arthropoda; Insecta; Odonata; Libellulidae. The record is from RNAcentral.